AUGAACUGUGUGACUACGGUCAGAUACCAGAUCAAGUUAAAUGCCGAGCUUACCGAGCAGUUUUCCCCUACCCGCGGGCUACGACAAGGCGAUCCUACUUCGCCCUAUCUGUUCGUGAUCUGCGCGGAGGGUUUGUCGGCGCUGCUUCAUGAGGCCGAGGCAACAGGGCGCAUCACGGGCGUCAAAAUUUGUCGAGCUGCACCUGUUGUCUCGCAUCUCUUGUUUGCCGACGACUCGGUGCUCCUGAUCAAGGCCAACCACGAUGAAGCUCAUGCCCUGCGCGAGGUUUUGGACCUCUAUGAAAACUGUUUCGGUCAGUGCAUAAACCUGGAGAAAUCAUCCAUCAUGUUCAGCCCGAACACUCAAGCUAUGGAGAAAACAGCAGUGAAAGACGCUCUGCAGAUUCAGAGUGAUACAUGGAAUGAUAAAUACUUGGGAUUACCAAUUCAUGUGGGCAAAUCUAGGAAAAAGGCUUUUGCUUUCGUGAAAGGGGCUAUGGCCGGCAGGGUGUAUGGAUGGAAGGAGCGCCUCAUCGCUAAGUGUGGUAAAGAGACUCUGGUCACGGCCGUGGCCCAGGCGAUUCCUACCUUCGCUAUGUCUUGCUUCUACCUCACGAAAACCUUCUAUGAGGAGCUGAGUUCACUCCUCGGUGACUACUGGUGGAGCCAGCAGGACAAAGAUAGGACCACUCAUUGGAUUGGCUAG
This 705-nucleotide ribosomal RNA is filed under the name Triticum aestivum (bread wheat). RNAcentral's name for it is "partial small subunit ribosomal RNA". Lineage: Eukaryota; Viridiplantae; Streptophyta; Magnoliopsida; Poales; Poaceae. The record is from RNAcentral.